RNAcentral lists this ribosomal RNA (253 nucleotides) under uncultured bacterium. Its description in RNAcentral is "partial 16S ribosomal RNA". It matches the Rfam family "Bacterial small subunit ribosomal RNA", at positions 524 to 776 of the family's 1533-position model. The record is from RNAcentral.
UACGUAGGUGGCAAGCGUUGUCCGGAUUUACUGGGCGUAAAGGAUGCGUAGGCGGACAUUUAAGUCAGAUGUGAAAUACCCGAGCUUAACUUGGGUGCUGCAUUUGAAACUGGGUGUCUAGAGUGCAGGAGAGGUAAGUGGAAUUCCUAGUGUAGCGGUGAAAUACGUAGAGAUUAGGAAGAACACCAGUGGCGAAGGCGGCGACCUGGACAGGUACUGACACUCAACUACGAAAGCGUGGGGAGCAAACAGG